This 2901-nucleotide unclassified non-coding RNA is filed under the name uncultured fungus. RNAcentral's name for it is "sequence contains 18S rRNA gene, ITS1, 5.8S rRNA gene, ITS2, 28S rRNA gene". The stretch from base 499 to 2901 matches the Rfam family "Bacterial large subunit ribosomal RNA", at positions 1 to 2310 of the family's 2925-position model. The record is from RNAcentral. Lineage: Eukaryota; Fungi.
GGCUGGAUCACCUCCUUUCUAAGGGAUGUUCUCAUCGCGUCUUCCGAGCUCGCUCGGAGAUGUCGCUGAGUUCCACCUAGGUCGAUCGAUUGGCACCAAAUCCUCUGUUCAGUUUCCAGGGAAUCGGCAGAUUCCUGGACUGGGCCUAUAGCUCAGUUGGUUAGAGCGCACGCCUGAUAAGCGUGAGGUCGGUAGUUCAAAUCUACCUAGGCCCACCAAGUCAGAGGCGCUCUGACGAACGGGCCGACGGCAAGCGGGGCUGUAGCUCAGUUGGGAGAGCACCUGCUUUGCAAGCAGGGGGUCGUCGGUUCGAUCCCGAUCAGCUCCACCAAGCUCGUCGGGACUGCAGACUUGAAAGACGGGAAUGAAACGCCGGGAUGCGCGGUUGUGAGUGACCCUCACCAGCGCGGAUCCCAGUGAUCCCAAGUUCUUUGACAACUGAAUCGAAUUCGAAUCAUGUAGCGACAAGAUUCGCCGGUUAGUAAGACACUCAAGUUUGGUCAAGCUAGUAAGGGUGCACGGUGGAUGCCUUGGCGCAGAGAGGCGAUGAAGGACGUGGCAAGCUGCGAUAAGCCUCGGGGAGCCGCAAGCAGGCUUUGAUCCGGGGAUUUCCGAAUGGGGAAACCCAACUGGAGUUAUGUCCAGUUAUCCAGGAGUAAAUGCAUAGCUUCUGGAAGCUAACGGGGGGAAGUGAACCAUCUCAGUACCCCCAGGAAGAGAAAGCAAAAGCGAUUCCGUCAGUAGCGGCGAGCGAACGCGGAACAGCCCAAACCGGGAAGGUGCAAUAGCCCACAAGCGUUGCCUUGCCGGUGUUGUGGGGCGCUCUGUGAUCCGAUUGUGGUCGGGUCGGGGAGUUAUCAACUACCUGUCUAGUCAAAGGUGCCUGGAAAGGCCCGCCAAAGAGGGUGAUAGCCCCGUAGGCGAAAGACACGGUAGCUCCCUAUGAGCGUUCCCGAGUACCACGGGGCACGUGAAACCCCGUGGGAAACCGGGUAGACCAUUACCCAAGGCUAAAUACUUCUCUGCGACCGAUAGUGAACCAGUACCGUGAGGGAAAGGUGAAAAGCACCCCUGUUAGGGGAGUGAAAUAGUACCUGAAACCGUGCAUCUACAAGCAGUGGGAGCACUAUGGCCCCGCAAGGGAGUCCAGUGCGACCGCGUGCCUUUUGCAUAAUGAGCCGGCUAGUUAACGUCACUGGCGAGGCGAAGCAUCGUGCUGAGCCGUAGCGAAAGCGAGUCUGAAUGGGGCGAUUCAGUCAGUGGUGUUAGACGCGAAGCGGGAUGAUCUACCCAUGGCCAGGGGGAAGCUGCGGUAACACGCAGUGGACGCCCGAACCGGUGUUUGUUGAAAAAAGCUCGGAUGAGCUGUGGGUAGGGGUGAAAGGCUAAUCAAAUUCCGUGAUAGCUCGUUCUCCCCGAAAUGUCUUUAGGGACAGCCUUGCAGAUUGCAUCGCGGAGGUAGAGCACUGAAUGGACUAGGGGUCUUACCAGACUACCGAAUCCAAUCAAACUCCGAAUGCCGCAGAUGUGUACUGCAGGAGUGAGACUACGAGGGAUAAGCUUCGUGGUCAAAAGGGAAAGAGCCCAGAUCGCCAGCUAAGGUCCCAAAAUCUCAGCUAAGUGGAAAAGGAUGUCGAGGCGCAUUGACAGCCAGGAGGUUGGCUUAGAAGCAGCCACCCUUUAAAGAAAGCGUAAUAGCUCACUGGUCAAGCGGCUCGGUGCCGAUAAUUCAACGGGGCUCAAGCUGAGUACCGAAGCUGCGAAUUGAUGGAAUCCUCCGGGAGUCCAUCAGUGGUAGGGGAGCAUUCUGAACGCAUCGAAGGUCGAUCGAAAGAACGGCUGGAGCGUUCGGAAGAGACUCUGCCGGCACAAGUAGCGAUAAAGCGUGUGAGAACCACGCUGGCCGAAAGUCUAAGGUUUCCUGGGGAAGGUCAAUCCGCCCAGGGUUAGUCGGUCCCUAAGGCGAGGCCGAAAGGCGUAGUCGAUGGGAAACAGGUCAACAUUCCUGUACCACCGCAGGGUCGUUUGGACGUUGGGGUGACGCGGAAGGAUAAGCGGGCCCACCAUUGGAUGUGUGGGUUGAAGCGUGUAGGCGGGAGCGGCAGGUAAAUCCGUUGCUCCAUUCAACGCCGAGGCGUGAUCUCGAUCUCUUCGGAGAACAAAGCUGCCUACUUCAUGCCGCCAAGAAAAACCUCGAGACGGAGACCCUGAGGUGACCGUACCGUAAACCGACACAGGUAGACGGGUAGAGAAUACCAAGGCCCUUGAGUGAUCCCUUGCGAAGGAACUCGGCAAUUUGACACCGUAACUUCGGGAGAAGGUGUGCCGUCAGAAGUGUAGGGGUUCGCCCCCGAAGCUUUUGGCGGUCGCAGAGAAACGGCCCAAGCGACUGUUUAUCAAAAACACAGGACUCUGCUAAGUCGAAAACGACGUAUAGGGUCUGACGCCUGCCCGGUGCCGGAAGGUUAAGAGGAAGGGUUAGCCGCAAGGCGAAGCUCCCAAUCGAAGCCCCGGUAAACGGCGGCCGUAACUAUAACGGUCCUAAGGUAGCGAAAUUCCUUGUCGGGUAAGUUCCGACCUGCACGAAUGGCGUAACGAUUUGGGCACUGUCUCCGCAAGGGGCUCAGCGAAUCUGUAGUACCGGUGAAGAUGCCGGUUACCCGCACGUAGACGGAAAGACCCUGUGCACCUUUACUGCACCCUGGCCCUGAACCACGGUGCGCUAUGUGUAGGAUAGGUGGGAGGCUUUGAAGCCGGGCCGCUAGACUCGGUGGAGCCAACGGUGAAAUACCACCCUUAGCGUUCUGUAGUUCUAACUCAGACCCGUCAUCCGGGUCGAGAACAAGGUCAGGCGGGUAGUUUGACUGGGGCGGUCGCCUCCUAAAGAGUAACGGAGGCGCU